RNAcentral lists this ribosomal RNA (497 nucleotides) under uncultured bacterium. RNAcentral describes it as "partial 16S ribosomal RNA". It matches the Rfam family "Bacterial small subunit ribosomal RNA", at positions 28 to 507 of the family's 1533-position model. The record is from RNAcentral.
GAUGAACGCUGGCGGCGUGCCUAAUACAUGCAAGUCGAGCGAACGGACGAGAAGCUUGCUUCUCUGAUGUUAGCGGCGGACGGGUGAGUAACACGUGGAUAACCUACCUAUAAGACUGGGAUAACUUCGGGAAACCGUAGCUAAUACCGGAUAAUAUUUUGAACCGCAUGGUUCAAAAGUGAAAGACGGUCUUGCUGUCACUUAUAGAUGGAUCCGCGCUGCAUUAGCUAGUUGGUAAGGUAACGGCUUACCAAGGCAACGAUGCAUAGCCGACCUGAGAGGGUGAUCGGCCACACUGGAACUGAGACACGGUCCAGACUCCUACGGGAGGCAGCAGUAGGGAAUCUUCCGCAAAGGGCGAAAGCCUGACGGAGCAACGCCGCGUGAGUGAUGAAGGUCUUCGGAUCGUAAAACUCUGCUAUUAGGGAAGAACAUAUGUGUAAGUAACUGUGCACAUCUUGACGGUACCUAAUCAGAAAGCCACGGCUAACUACGUG